CUUUUUUUUAAGUUAUAGGUGGACACAGUAAUCUUUAUUUUUAUGUAGUGCUGAGGAUUGAACCCAGUGCCUCAUGUGUGUUUGGCAAGCGCUCUACCUCUGAGCCACAACCCCAGCGCAAAAAAAACAUUCUUUACUUGUGCUGCCAGUCAUUACCCAAGCUUUUGCUUUUGACUUACCUAAACUAUCAAAGUUAGGGGUAAAAUAAAUGAGAUUUCUCUAACAAAAUUUAUGGUAAAUUGGGAGAAAAAGUGAGAUCAGAGAGGAUAUAUUUAAUUCCUAAAUAGUGAAUUCUUUGCAGAUAUUAACACAUUAUUAAAGUGAUAUUUGAGUCUGUACAGUGAACAAGGCUUCUACCUGAGCAUGCUUGACUAGUUACUUCUAUUACUGAGACUGAAAAUUUAAUAUUUCUAAACAUACUUUUUGGUUGAAAACAGAUUUACCCAAAACCUCCAAUCUGGUGAUUUAGAACAACUCUCCAUGGACAUAUGUAGAGUAAAUUAGCAUUGUUGAAUGAAUUAAGAAAUCAGACUAACUCAAAAAUUUAAAAUUGAAAUUUUAAUUGAGUCAAGGCAAAAUUUUACUUUGGCCACCAAAAUUUCAGAAAAUGUUUUCUAAUUAGGGAAUAAUCCCUGAAAUAAUUAGAACCUAGGGGAGAGGAUUACUUUUUCUUUUAGACAGGCAAUAUUCCUGAACAAUUUCAGCUUGUUAAUUUACAUUGGUUUCUCCCUAACUAGAACUCAAUGGAGU
RNAcentral lists this long non-coding RNA (750 nucleotides) under Marmota monax (woodchuck). The record is from RNAcentral. Lineage: Eukaryota; Metazoa; Chordata; Mammalia; Rodentia; Sciuridae.